CACCUGGUUGAUCCUGCCAGUAGUCAUAUGCUUGUCUCAAAGAUUAAGCCAUGCAUGUCUAAGUAUAAGCUUUAAACGGCGAAACUGCGAAUGGCUCAUUAAAACAGUUAUAGUUUAUUUGGUGAUCGAUUACUAUUUGGAUAACCGUAGUAAUUCUAGAGCUAAUACAUGCGUCAAGGCCCGACUUCGGAAGGGCUGCGUUUAUUAGAUACAGAACCAACCUAGGCUCCGCCUAGUCCUUGUUGGUGAUUCAUAAUAACCCGGCGAUCGCACGGCUUGUCCGGCGAUGGACCAUUCAAGUUUCUGACUAUCAGCUAUGGACGGUAGGUAUUGGCCUACGUGGCGUUGACGGUACGGGGAUAGGGUCGAUCCGGGAGGGAGCUGAGAACGCUACACAUCU
This 400-nucleotide non-coding RNA is filed under the name Perkinsus marinus ATCC 50983. RNAcentral's name for it is "Eukaryotic small subunit ribosomal RNA". It matches the Rfam family "Eukaryotic small subunit ribosomal RNA", at positions 1 to 417 of the family's 1831-position model. The record is from Rfam by way of RNAcentral. Lineage: Eukaryota; Perkinsozoa; Perkinsida; Perkinsidae.